UUGAAUAAGUAACGACUAACUAUGUGCCAGCAGUCGCGGUAAUACAUAGGUUGCAAGCGUUAUCCGGAUUUAUUGGGCGUAAAACAAGCGCAGGCGGAUUAGAAAGUCUGGUGUUAAAAGCAAUUGCUUAACGAUUGUAUGCAUUGGAAACUUCUAGUCUAGAGUUUGGUAGAGAGUCCUGGAACUCCAUGUGGAGCGGUGAAAUGCGUAGAUAUAUGGAAGAACACCAGAGGCGAAGGCGAGGACUUGGGCCAAUACUGACGCUUAGGCUUGAAAGUGUGGGGAGCAAAUAGGAUUAGAUACCCUAGUAGUCCACACUGUAAACGAUGGAUGUUAAGUGUCGGAGCGAAUACUUCGGUGCUGCAGUUAACACAUUAAACAUCCUGCCUGAGUAGUACAUUCGCAAGAAUGAAACUCAAACGGAAUUGACGGGGACCCGCACAAGUGGUGGAGCAUGUUGCUUAAUUCGACGGUACACGAAAAACCUUACCUAGACUUGACAUCUUGGGCGAAGCUAUAGAAAUAUAGUGGAGGUCAACCCAAUGACAGGUGGUGCAUGGUUGUCGUCAGCUCGUGUCGUGAGAUGUUGGGUUAAGUCCCGCAACGAGCGCAACCCUUAUCGUUAGUUACUUUGUCUAACGAGACUGCCAACGUAAGUUGGAGGAAGGUGGGGAUGACGUCAAAUCAUCAUGCCCCUUAUGUCUAGGGCUGCAAACGUGCUACAAUGGCCAAUACAA
RNAcentral lists this ribosomal RNA (737 nucleotides) under Mycoplasmoides gallisepticum. Its description in RNAcentral is "bacterial SSU rRNA". It matches the Rfam family "Bacterial small subunit ribosomal RNA", at positions 482 to 1242 of the family's 1533-position model. The record is from RNAcentral. Lineage: Bacteria; Bacillati; Mycoplasmatota; Mycoplasmoidales; Mycoplasmoidaceae.